CUUCGUGGUGGUGCUAAGAAGAGAAAGAAGAAGUCUUACACUACCCCCAAGAAGAACAAGCAUAAGAGAAAGAAGGUUAAGCUUGCUGUCCUUAAAUAUUACAAGGUGGAUGAGAAUGGUAAAAUCAGUCGCCUGCGCCGAGAGUGCCCCUCUGAGGAAUGCGGGGCUGGAGUUUUUAUGGCCAGUCACUUUGACAGACAUUACUGUGGCAAGUGCUGCCUGACAUACUGCUUCAACAAACCAGAAGACAAGUAAAUGUAUCUGUGUUAAUAAAAAAAAAAAACCAGCCCUCA
Molecule: non-coding RNA, 293 nt
Organism: Chelonoidis abingdonii (Abingdon island giant tortoise)
Lineage: Eukaryota; Metazoa; Chordata; Testudines; Testudinidae
Source: RefSeq, a predicted model, not a curated record